UACCCGCAGCACAAGUGGUGGUCAUUAUUAUUGGGCCUAAAGCGUCCGUAGCUGGCUUGUUAGAUGCCUGGGUAAAUCGAUGCGCUCAACGUAUCGAACUCCGGGUAGACCGGCAAGCUCGAGACCGGGAGAGGUGUAGGCUACUCGCGGGGUAGGGGUAAAAUCCUGUAAUCCUGCGGGGAGGACCAGUGGCGAAGGCGCUACACUAGAACGGCUCUGACAGUGAGGGACGAAGCCCUGGGGCGCAAACCGG
Molecule: ribosomal RNA, 253 nt
Filed under: uncultured bacterium
Lineage: Bacteria
Description: partial 16S ribosomal RNA
Rfam family: Archaeal small subunit ribosomal RNA
Source: RNAcentral